RNAcentral lists this ribosomal RNA (402 nucleotides) under uncultured Bacteroidales bacterium. RNAcentral's name for it is "bacterial SSU rRNA". It matches the Rfam family "Bacterial small subunit ribosomal RNA", at positions 100 to 497 of the family's 1533-position model. The record is from RNAcentral. Lineage: Bacteria; Pseudomonadati; Bacteroidota; Bacteroidia; Bacteroidales.
CACGGGUGAGUAACGCGUAUGCAACUUACCUAUCAGAGGGGGAUAGCCCGGCGAAAGUCGGAUUAAUACCCCAUAAAACAGGGGUCCCGCAUGGGAAUAUUUGUUAAAGAUUCAUCGCUGAUAGAUAGGCAUGCGUUCCAUUAGGCAGUUGGCGGGGUAACGGCCCACCAAACCGACGAUGGAUUUAGGGGUUCNNUGAGAGGAAGGUCCCCCACAUUGGUACUGAGACACGGACCAAACUCCUACGGGAGGCAGCAGUGAGGAAUAUUGGUCAAUGGCCGAGAGGCUGAACCAGCCAAGUCGCGUGAAGAAGAAGGAUCUAUGGUUUGUAAACUUCUUUUAUAGGGGAAUAAAGUGGAGGACGUGUCCUUUUUUGUAUGUACCCUAUGAAUAAGCAUCGGC